UAUCUACCGUGUGGCGAUGCGUCAGGUCAACAGUCGGGCAUAAAUAUAUUCCGUGCGCAACAGUUACUUUACUUAUUUUAAUAUUUUUUGUGAUAUCAACUUUAAUUGCAGUAGGUUCUUCCCCUGAUAAGUUAGUCACAAGAGCUUUAAUAAAAAUGCCAAUUAAUAAUUUAUUAAAUUAGUAGUGUCUGUCAAAUUAAUCGAGAAGCCGAACAGCCCAGUUCGCAGUAUUCCGUUACUCUUAGUAUUCCUGCAGACUGUCCACCCUCGCAGGCUGCGUGCCUCGAGCCGAGCGCCAUCACUCCCGGCUGAGCUGCGCGGUGAUGAGCUAGCGGCGUGGAAGAUACCCAACAAGGUGUUCUGUGACGAGAUGGAGAGCCGCCUGGACGGCAGGUCGCUGGUGCUGCCGUGGUGGCAUCACUACUGCCAGGAGCUCAAGGCCAAGCAGAAGCCGUGGACGGAGCACUACCGGCCCAGGCACCGCGCCGCGCUCGACGAGCUGCUGCGGUACCGACGGGGGGAACGUAAACAGGACAGGGUUAAGCUUAGCUGGGCAACAGGCUAGAUAACGAAGUUCGAGUACUGUCAAGUAUUUUUUAAAACAGAAAAAUCAGUUUAGAUUUGGGAAGUUCGACUCUGAUUAUGUGUUUUAUUAAAAUAAACUAUUUGCGCAAUGAGGAUUUAAUAAUUUUGAAUAAGAGAACAUACAUAAGCUUUAUACUAUAUUUAGGAAAUUUCCCAUCGUCAUGUCUAGGCAAUGGCAUAUAUAAGGAAGUUUGUUCGUUAAUAUUAUUCCAAUUACCGAUCGAAUGCGAGUGGGCUGUUGAGACGGACGUACGACACGGGCGGAGCUCGUACGUCAUCUUCUCUUCUUCGUAUUCAUUUGAUUUAAUUUGAAUAUGCACUAGACAACAACUUGUUAUUAUCGAGGCCGCGGCCCAGUGCUGCUGUCGGUGUCCACUGUCAGGGUGUCCAGGCGAGGGAGCUGUCCUGGC
Long non-coding RNA from Bicyclus anynana (squinting bush brown), 995 nucleotides. RefSeq lists it as uncharacterized. Lineage: Eukaryota; Metazoa; Arthropoda; Insecta; Lepidoptera; Nymphalidae. The record is from RefSeq and is a predicted model, not a curated record. The transcript has 3 exons.